AGCGGCGUAAGGGGCAGUAAUACCUGGGAAUGUACCCUUUGGUCGGGGAUAGCUGCUGGAAACGGCGAGUAAUACCCGAUGAACUCGAGAGAGCAAAGGCUUGCCGCCGGAGGAGCGGCCCAGGCGAUAUUAGCUAGUUGGUGGGGUAAUGGCCUACCAAGGCUUAGAUGUCUAGCGGGUGUGAGAGCACGACCCGCGCCACUGGCACUGAGACACUGGCCAGACACCUACGGGUGGCUGCAGUCGAGAAUCCUCGGCAAUGAGCGCAAGCUUGACCGAGCGACGCCGCGUGCGGGAUGAAGGCCUUCGGGUUGUAAACCGCUUUGGUCCGAGAGAAAGGGCAACUUGAUCGAUCGGAGAAACAAGGACGGGCUAAGUUCGUGCCAGCAGCCGCGGUAAGACGAACCGUCCAAACGUUAUUCGGAAUCACUGGGCUUAAAGGGCGCGUAGGCGGCCGAGCGGGUCGCGGGUGAAAUCCUCCAGCUUAACUGGAGAACUGCCCUCGAUACCACUGCGGCUCGAGGAAGGAAGGGGUCAUGGGAACUGUCGGUGGAGCGGUGAAAUGCGUUGAUAUCGACAGGAACGCCUGUGGCGAAAGCGCAUGACUGGUCCUUUUCUGACGCUGAGGCGCGAAAGCCAGGGGAGCAAACGGGAUUAGAUGCCCCCGUAGUCCUGGCCUUAAACGAUGAGAACUAGGUAG
Molecule: ribosomal RNA, 700 nt
Filed under: uncultured bacterium
Lineage: Bacteria
Description: bacterial SSU rRNA
Rfam family: Bacterial small subunit ribosomal RNA
Source: RNAcentral